Molecule: long non-coding RNA, 12185 nt
Organism: Anastrepha ludens (Mexican fruit fly)
Lineage: Eukaryota; Metazoa; Arthropoda; Insecta; Diptera; Tephritidae
Exons: 3
Source: RefSeq, a predicted model, not a curated record
UUAUCGGUCGGUUACUAAGUUGGUUGGACGGACGAACGGACGGUCGAUCGUCUAUGCUCCUCGCGUCGCGUCCGGCGCUAAGCCACAGUUACCGAAACAGCUGCCUUCGCCAACGUCCUUCGCCGUCGUCCGCUGAUUAAGUGCAUACAUGGACGCGCGCGUGUUUUUGUGUGUAUUUGUUAAGUUCAGUUUUGCCCUAAUUGUAAUUGCAAUUACACACACAUUUCUAAUGCAAUGCUUCUUCCGGCUCUAACUGCAAUUUCAUCACUGUUUUUCGGUUCGCUGCUGCUGCGCUCACCCCGUUCUGUCUGUCGUUUGCUCUGCACGUUAGCUAUAAAUUAGCUCUUAAAACGCUGGAACCCAAAAUUUAUUAUAGCACUGCGUUGGCAGCCUCGGUACACUGCCUGCGCUGCCAUCUCUGCAGUCUUUAUCUGUCGCUGCCGGCUGCCCAUCUACCUAGAAGCAAGCACACUUUCAUUUGGUGCACUCCAAUUUUCCACUUUUACAGUUUUCCCUAUUUCUUCCGCUUUCUCGCUUUCUCUGUCUUCUACUUUCCACAUUAUUGCUUGUAAAUUGUCUAUUUUUUGGUAUGCGGCAAUUUGUUAUUGUCUGCUCCACUCGCGUCGCGUGCUCUGCUCGCCUCCACUGAUUGAAGUGUUUACAAGAUGUUUCACGUACCAAAAGUUUUCGCUCAACCACCUCCUUGGUAAACUACAAACACACAUUCAUAUGCGCCGCUGAUAUACAAGUAUGUACAUAUGUAUGUGUGUAGCUGUUGCUGAUAUUUGUGGCUGCACUUGAGCGCCGAAAUUGUUGCUGUUGUCUUCAUGGCGAAAAAAGCGCUGGUAGAGCUACCGGCCACACCAGAAAGGCGCAAUUUGAAAGCCAAGCGACUACCAACAAAAUAAAAUUCAAGCCAACAACCUAACGCAAUCGUGUGUCGUUGGCCGUGGCUAAGAUGAAUAGGCGCACAGCAAAACCCAGCAAGCAACUACCAAAACGGCAAUAAGCAAGCAGCCAACAGCCAACAACCCACCAAAACAGUCAACAAAUUGUGUCGCGCGCGAAGUGAAAAACUGAAAAACAACAGCAAAACCAUUUGCACAAACAUACAACAACAGCAACGACUGCAACAAAAGCAACGGCGACACAAAGUACGGCAACAAUAAAUGCAAAAAGAGGCAGCCGGCAGACAGGCAGCCAGCCAGCAAGCAAGCAGGCCAGCUAGCAGCCGCGAGCGCGUUUGAUUCGAUUUGGGAGUAAUGCUGGCAUUGCCGGCGCUACUGAGACUUGCUGUGUGCAAUGCACACCUCGCCUGCCAGUGCUCAGCUGUUGAUCGACACGCUCGCUCACUCAUUCCCAUUAGCCGAAAAGAUACAAAACGCGCUCUAUAUGUAAUUGUAUUUCGCUAGCGAGCUGACGCGGUAAUAAUACAAAGAAAAGCACGCGAUAAACGGGUGAAAAUUAAAUUCGUGUUCUUAUUUUUUGGCGAAGAAGCGCUAAUUUUUCAGUACGCGUUCGCAACGUGUGGAAGUUGAUGAAGUAAUAGUGAGGAAAAUUUUUAAAUUUUUUUCGGUUUUCUACUGUGCAAGAAGAUUUUGUGAUUCAAAUAAUUUAGAGCAGUUACUUCAAAUGUAUGGUAAAGUGUAUGGGGAGUAAUUUGAAGUAAGUGCUGCGAAAGUACGCCGUGAGGAAAAUUGAAAAAAAAUUGAAUAUAAACUAAAGGCCUGCAAUAGGAUUCAGAAAAUGAAUUGAAUUUUCUGAAUAAUGAAAAAUUAAGGUCAACGAAGAUCGGAAAUACGCUCACGAAUUGAAAUGGCUUUGAUGUGAAGUUGCUUAAAAAAUAUUAAGUAAAUGUGAUAGCGCAUUAUUAUAAAUCAUUUUACGAUAAAAUAUAGAAUUACAAAAAAAGAAAUGUGUAAAUUUAAAUAAUUGUAACACAUGUAUUGAAAUGUGAAUUAAACAGAUAAUUACAUACAAAAAUCAAAUCUAAAGCAUCAACUCAGAUGUGAAAAAUUAGUUCUCAAAAUUUUCGCCAGUACCACAGCUGCUAAUUGAGUAGCUAUGAAAUACAGAAAUAUGGCGUGUGAGCUUUUAAAGGUAAAAAAACAUUAGAAUUGGACUAAAAAUAAAAAAAAAAGUAAAGGCGAUUAUUUAAGAAAAAUACAAAAAAAUACGCGCGUUUUUAGUUGAACGUAAAAUCCGGUAAUAUUUCAAAAUAAAUCAUAAAGUAAAAAUUGUUUAAGGCAAAAAUUACAGAAGGAACGCAAAACACUGAGAAUUAUUCAGUUACGAGAAAAAAAUAUGAAAUAAAAAAACCUGCAUAGCAAAAAAAAAAAUUAUCAUAAAAUGAAAAAUAACUAUUAAAAAAUUGUUCUACAGCUGUAAAAUACAUUAAAUUCACAGUGCUUAUUUCUAUUUUCAAAUUACAAAAAAAUCCACGAACAUAAAAAAAAAUGUUUUAACUACAUAUAAGACAGAAGCUAGUGGAAAAAGUGUAUUUUGUCACAAAUAAAAAAUUUCUAGGGAUGCAAAUUUUCUUUUCACCCUUUAGCGGCUAUUUAUCCUGUUUUUUCUGGGUCUUCAAUGUUGAUCACUUUUAUACAUAAAAAAGAGUUUUAAUUAUUUAAAAUGCAGUUGCAAAUGAAGAAAGUGUUUUGUGUCAUGAAUAAAAUUUCUCUGGGGAUGAACUUUUUUUUUCGCGCUUAAGCACCUAAUUUUUUUUCCUUUUUUUUGUGGUUCUUGAAUGUUGCUUACUUUCAUAAAAAAUUAUAAGUUCAGUGUCUAACAAAAUCCAUAAAAAUUCAAAUUAAACUCUAUACAAAAAUUUGAAAUUUUCUUUUUUUCUCUUUUCAACCCGAUGCUACGGUUUUCAAGUAGAAUUUUUCCAAAAAGCUUUAUAGUUUCUGUCGUAUAUUGGCGUUAAUCAAUAAUGUGGGACACUUGUGAACUAGACAGUUGCAGUAUACAAACAAACAAGCGUAUAGGUCAAAAUAAAGAUUUCCAUAGCACAAAAUCAUUUUUUUUUUUUAAUUGGAUAAUUAAUUUUACGCCACCUUGUAUUUACAAUGCGAAAAUACAAUAAAUAAACCUAUAAGUAUACAGGCAACGGUAAAUAAUACCACACGAAUAUUUUCAGUUUUUUUUUCGCUUUGAAUAUUUUUGUUGAUUUUUUGUUUUUUUUUCUCUUUUUUGUUCAUGAAUGAUAAUUAUUUUUUUAUUUUUUACCGUUACUUACUUUUUAUUUGAAUUAUAGUUCAUUGUGCAACAGAAUCCAAAUAAAUUUUUUUUUAAAUUUUAUUAAAAUUUUAUAACAAAUUUUUCACAAAAUUUUCAAUCCCGCGUAAUUUUUUAUUAUAAUUUCUAGAAUUUUUUCUAUAUGUUUUUUUUCAGAAUUUCUAGAAAAAAUUGGUAUGCUGUUUUAUAGCUUAUUAAAUUUAAUAAAAAUGAAAAAUAUAUAGAAGUAAAUAAAAAAAUAAAGUGCAAGUUUUAAGUUGUAUAAGAAUCCCGUUGAGCUUUUAUCCUUUUGUUCGCGUUUCUGUGUUAAAAUAAAAAAUUAACUUAAAAAAAUCUUAAAAAAAUUUUAGCGCUAAUUUUUAGAAAAAUAUCAUAACUGAAAUUAAUAAAUGUAAUAAACAAAAACAAAAAAUUAAAAACCGACGCAAUACCAAACUCUGCUUAGAGCAUGACUUUUCAGAAUAAUUUCAAAUAAAUCAAAUAAAUUUUAACAAAAGAAGAAAUAUACAUAGGUGUAUAUAAGAUAAGCAAAAUAACAAAGAAAAGGACACAGUUAAAUAUUGCAUCAGUGGCGCCAGCAAUCGAGGACAUACCAAAUUUAGCGAAGUCCUCAACCAUCUGUGUGAUCCUUCUGCCAGAAAAAUGUCACACACAGAUGGCGCUUCAAGCAGUAAGAAGGUGUUGUUCCUAAGCAACGACAGAUGGGCAUUUCCACCACUUAGGAAAGAUAGCGGCAGCCUAAUCACCUACCCUGUCAGAAAGCAAAAUAGAUUAACGAAACCAACGCCAAUUCUUCGAAACUAGGCCUAAUUUGUCAUUCAAAUGGCUUAUAAAAAUUCAUCAAAUUUUUAAAUUAAUAGGAAAGGUCUUCCGACAGAGAAAGUGUUCCGGUAGCUACGAAAAAAAAUAACACAAAACAAAAAUCAAAGAGCAAAAGACAAAAAUACAAAAUAAAAUCUUCAGUGAUUAGAUGAAGUUGAAAUUAUUUAGAAAUUCGGAAAACUUUUUAACGUUCGCAUCACAACAAGUUGCUCCAAUAAGAGCGACUCACUGAGCUUUAUAAAAACAAUUAAAACAAACUGAAAUAAAAAAUAUCCCUUCGAUCAUAUAAAAAAUAGCGUUUAUUUAGUUUCAACCGAAACAUUCGAAGUAAAUAAAUAAUAAAUAACUAAAUAAAAAAUCUUCCAAGUGUACUUAAAAUAUAACAAACCUUUUUGUGCUCUUUAAAAAUGACAUCAGAAUUUUGAGUGUUCUCUUGGAAAAUUGAAUAUAUUUCGGAACCCGUGAAAGCCAAUAAAAUAUAAAGAUUUCCUUAAUAAAAGACAUUUCCUUUUAAUCCGAAAUUCCGCUGCAACGACUCGCAUAUUGCGGAAUUACUUACAUUUUUCGGAGUGUUCACAAUUUAAAAUUCUGAAGAAAAACAAGAACAUGCACGUACCUAUUACGGUUGAGAAAUUAAAUUUAGUCCAAAACCGCUGUGAAACCAUUUUCGGAGUUAUUCUGAGUAAUUUUCGUUUGAUCAAAUUUGCUUUCCAAUUCAUGUAUUAUAAUUAAAGUUAGUUAUUGCGAAGUCGGAAAACUGAGCACGACCUAAAAUUGCGUGUCAAAUUAUCUAUAAAGAACUUAAACUAUAUUUUUAACAUUUCGGUGUACACAAAUUUACUAUUCAAUUUAUAAAAAUCAAAACUACUUUUUAGUAAAAGUAUCAAAAAAGUUCACAAAUUCGGAGUGUUCGCAAACAUUUUUCAUAAAAUUAUUUUUCAAUUUAUACGUAAAAAUUGAAAAUACCUUUUAAUAAAAAUAUCAAAACAGUUAAAGAGUUUGGAUUAAUAUUAAAUUAGUUAUAAUUUUUUUUACAAUAUUACAAUUAAACCUGUCGAAUAAGACAUACAUAGUUUCAAUGUUCCGAAAAUUUCGAUGUGCAUAGAACUAUUUUUGAAUUUAUUUAUUAAAAUUAAAACUGUUUUUUUAUGAAAGUUUCAACGUAGUGAACAAACUCAAUUAAUUCUCAAUUCAUCUUUGACAAUUAAAACUGCUGAAUACAAAAUAGUUUGAAUGUACGGAGUAAUUAGAGUAGGUUAGAAAUUCGGAGUAUCCCGAUUAUCCAAUCGUUUUAUAAAAAUUAUAACUCUUCUUCUUCUUAAUUGGCGCGAUAACUGCUUAUUCGAUUUUGGCCGAGUUUAACAAAGCAUGCCAGUCGUUUCUUUCUCGUGCCAUUCGGCGCCAGUUGGACACACCAAGUAAAGCCAACUCCUUCUCCACCUGAUCUUUCCAACGCAAAGUAGGCCUUCCUCUUCCUCUUCUACCACCAGCUGAUUCCGCAUCAAAUACUUUCAGAGCCGGAGCGUUUGUAUCCAUUCAGACGACAUUACGCAGCCAACGUAGCCGCUACUUUUUAGUAAAAGGAUCGAGAUGGUUUAAAUAUUCGGAGUAUUCCGAAAAUCUGAAAAAUUUUCGGGAUGCAUAAAAAUAUGUUUCAGUUUAUUUAUAAACAUUAAAACUACUUUUUUGCGAAACGAUCGAAGUAGUUUAGAAACUCGGAGCGUUCCGAAAAUUUCGGAGAGCAUAAAAUUAUUUUUCAAUUUAUUUAUUAAAAUUUAAACUGCCUUUUUGCAAAAGUAUCGACGGAAAAAAACUCAAAGUGAUUCGGAGGUGUUCGUUUUCGCAAUUUCAGUUCAACAUCUUAAUAUAUCGACGCGAAAAUAAAAAAUAAAAAAAUAGAUAUAUAAAUUCAGUGAAACAAAAAACAUCAACAUCAACCGCAAUAAUUUCAUUUUAGCAACGAUUUUCAACAACGCAAUUCCUUGUGCGUCAAGCAACCAACCAACAAUACGAGUACAACAACACAGCAACCACGUCGUUGGUACCCUACUUCACAUAAUACACAUCCGCACGCACACACGUACAAAAAUCAGCAACCUGCUGUACUAAUUUUUAAAUAAAUACAAUACAACAAAAUCAGUCAAACAACAACACGACCUCUAUCAGCAAAAAAUAUUAUAUUAAAGAAGAAAAAAAAUGAAUUCAAGAGUGUUAUAAAAAUAUAAAAGAAGAUAAAUGUGCAGUGCUGAAAGUCUAUUAAACGUGCAAAAUAAAUUAAUAGAGUCGUUACUCAACGGCUUGUCGAUUAUUUUUAACUGAUUAGAGCAAACACCCACUGCACUUCGCACAGCCAACCAACCACCUUGAAUAAGUUGUCCGCAAGGAAGUGCAAGGUCAUACAAAUAUCAAAAUAAAGAAUAAAAUAAAAAAAAUUUCUUGGAAACUCUUUUCAUAAACAAGGCAUCAAAAUAGGUACUCGACUGCGUGAAAAUAAUCCCGACAAAGACAACAACAAUAUGAUAUAUAUAGAUGACUCAGAGCCAGAAGGUGGUAAGUACAACAAGCGAUAAAGCAACUUAAAGAUACUUACAUUCUAAUAUUGCACAUUUAUACGGGCUCAAGACCGUUUGAGUGGCACUUAGAUUGAGUGCUUCUAUUUUUAUUUGCACUUUUUUUUAAUAUUUAUUGCCUCUAGAAAACCACUUCGCUGAUAACGAUUUCUUGACAUCUUCAGUUUUAUUAUUCUCACUUUUUCCUUUGUUAUUCCACGUUAGUUGUUAAUAUUUUCUGUUAAAUGUACUUCAUUAGUACUUUAUCAACGGGCCUUGAUAAGAGGCUAGAAAUGCAGUGGUAGUGUGAGGGGUGCGCUUGCGACUAAAUCGUUAAAUGGUAUAAGGAAAUUAUGGCACUAUACAAGUGGCUAAGCAAAAUUUCGAUAUUUUAUGAUGGGAUAUUUCCUCUUUGUUUCAUAUUACAUGUAGAAUUUCUCCAUAGCGUUGGAUGGCAAAAAGUGGCAAAGUGGAGUAGCAAAUAGUUGAGCAUUCAUUGUGUUGUUCAGCACUACUCCCAGUAGCGAUAAAGCUUUCCUUGUAACAUUUUUAAUUAAUUGUACAAAUUAAUAUAAUAUUAGCAGUCCACAAUUAAAAUAUAAAUCAAUAAAAGUAUAAAUUCAAUAAAAGUAUUUUUUCACGCUUUUACUCAACCACAAGAAUAAAAACAUUAUUGUUAUUUGUCGACAAAUUUAAUUAAUAAAAUAAUAAAUUUUCGAUUAAAAAUUUCCGUUUCCGGCGUUUUCGGAGUAGAUGCACACGAUUCGCUAAGAAAUAACUACCAAAACCCAAGCUUUAGUGUUAUUUUUCAAUAAAUUUAAUAAAUAAAGUAAUAUUUUUUUGUUUCAAAUUUUGAAUUAUUCGAUAUUAUUCUUCAAUCCAUUAAUGGAUAAUAUAAAAUUUGAUGGAUUAAAGCUUUAACAUUUAACGAAACAAAAGCAAUACAAUAACAAGUCAGAGGAAUAUUAUCUGACUAAAAUUGUCUAUUUUCGGAGUAACUCCGAAUUUUUAGGAGUUGUAAAAAUUAUGAGAGCAUGCGAAAUGUAUCAUUCUUAUCUGCAUCAGCUAGUUCUAAAUAAUAUAAUCCUUAUUUGAAAUUUAAUAAUUUUCGGAGUAACUCCGAUUUUUUUGGAGAUGUGCAAAUUACUAAAGUACGAAUUAAGUAGGGGAAAUGUAUACCUUUUAUCGAUAUUUCAACGACGAAAGAGUAUAAUCUUUACAUGUGUUUAUUUCAAAGCACAAAUUCGGUGAAUUAAUACAGCACAUAGUGCGUAAAAUAUGCAUAUACAUAAUUUAUUUCGAACGAACUAUGUCAAGAAAAAUUAAAUAUGCACGUGAGACUAUAGAUUUCAUAAAAGUAGAAAAGCUUCAUACUCACGAUUUAAUUUUUCAUUAAAUUAAAGUUUAAAGUACUUAAUGAAUUUUCAAAUGAAUAAAUUUUCAAAAAAUGAUAAUGACAUGAAUUUCAAACCAAAGACGAUAUAUCCAGCUAUUAAAAAAAUUGCAGUUUACUUUUCAACUUCGUUCUUCUUGGACCCACACUCUUGCUGUUUCAUCAAAUCAUAAAAAAAUAGGUGAACUUUCCGCCUAUAAAAUAAAAUAUACACAAUUGAUACUUAAUAUAAAAAAUACAUACGUAUCUGUCUUGGGCGCAUGAAUGCCUUCGGAUGGUCCCGUAGUAAAGUUUUCUCUCAUAGCAGUUGCCUCCCUACAGGUAAUGCCCACCAUCCAAGUACAUUUCUGUUCUGAAACACAUUUCACAUUAGACCAUCAGCAUAAAAAUUAUUUUUGGGGCACCAUCAGGCCGCAUUACGUACAUUGAAGCGGAAGAUUAGGCAAAUACCUAAGAAGGGAUUUAUGAUUUUAAAAAAAUGUUGCUUAAAUCUGCGCUUUAAAAAUUAUCAAUGCCUGAAAAUGUAUUAAAAAUGCAUUACCCGAAAAUGGCGGCCCCCACUCAACGCCGGAAGGACAUAAAUUUUAAUAAAGUGUUUAACUAAAGCCAAUUUACAAAUUAAGAUAAGACAGCAGUAAGUAAAAAGGAUAAAAGAAAAAUACUUGCAAAACGAACGGAAAAGGCAGAUAAAUGCCACGCGAGACAUUUGAAUCUCCACGCCCACACAAAUGGAAAAUUCAAAAAGGAAACGCAGAGAAAAGGCAAAGCCGUUAAUAAAUUUUACGCAUUUUCGCGGAAAAAAAACAUGAAAACAAAAUCAAAAGCAAAGUGAAACAAACCCAUUUAAAAAGGGCAGGCGCAAGGCCAAGGCAGCAAAUACCAGAAGUAGUGAAAUUGUAAAGUUGAAAAGAAGUGCAAGAAAAAAGUUGGUUAAGCAGUGAGUAGUGAAACGAUGAAAAGCAUAUAGGCACAAACAGCUGUGGUAGAGUGUGUGUGUGUGUGUAUACGCCAUCAGGUUGUAUGUAUAUGCCUAUGUGGAUCUAUACGCCUUAGUAUGAUUUUGCUAAAAUCUCUGCCUUCUCAGAAUAGUCCACUUGAUGAGAGCUUGAGCUAUGCAGGCUGAAUUUUGUGAAGGGAAAGCAAAACUGUUCUUUGAAGAUGGUUUAUGCAAAUGUGAAACUUUCAAAACUGUGCCAGACAGCUUAGGCUGAAAAUUUUGCAAGAGGCAGUACAAGCAGCAUUAGUCUGCACCGGAAAUGGCAUAAGCAACAGCAUAAACAAUGCUAAGUUGAAUAGUAAAGGCGGAGGUGCGGUGUAAGUGGCAGGCGUACAGAACGCCAAGAAAAGUGGAAGAAGAGCAGAAGUAUGAAGUAUCAGCAACAAAAAUAUUUUCUCUACAAUUUAGGUUGUAAUAGUCGGUUAAUCAUUUCUUUGCAGACUUUGCAAAGUAUAUUUUUUUUUUUUUUUUUUCAUUUAACUCCAAAGCGGAUGGGCUCGCAAUGGCCUACUUCCUGUUGUUUUGCUUACAAAUUACCUCAUUUAGUUUGUUUAUUUUUAGAAUAAAAUGCUUAUGAGCAAUCCAAACAAAAGCCUUAAAAGUACUUCUUUUGUAUCUACAAAAUAUUUGGAAAUUUUGAAAAUUUAAUUUUAAACGUUUUUGAAUUGCAGCAAAUGCUGCAGUGGAGAGUUUCAUUCCGAAGAAAGUAGUACGAGUAAGACAUUUAGCUGAGCACUUUCUCCAACAGAAGAAGUUAGGCGGUAAUUAUGAAUUUAUGGUAAUGCCAUAUUUUGAAAUAUAUCUUAGCUUAGUAACUGCGUUUACGUUAAGUUUCAGCUCACUCUCAUGGCAGGUACGUACCGCAACUGGCCAUUGACGUAUGACCGAUGGAAAGAAUUGAAAAUUUUUUUAUAAAAAUUAAGCUAGUUAGAAAUAGAAAACAGGAUAUUUGGUUAUUUGUAAGAAUGUGUCGUACUGUUUUGCAAUACACGAAAUUUUUUUUAUAUUGAGAAAAUUGGCAACACCGUGAAGGAAAAAAAUUAUAACAAAUCAAAGAAAAAAACUUAUGACAAAUACGUGCGAUUUUCUAGCAUCUUCACUUCUAAACUUUAUUGCACUAGAAUUUAAUAAGCUAUAAAACUGCUUACCAAAUAUCUUUCUGGAAAAUAUUUUCAAAAAAAUCGCCUAGCUGGAGACAAAGAAGUCGUUGAACUAGUUUCUAAGGACCUCUUUGUUAUCGAAGGUUACGCCCUUCACAUAGUUUGGUUGGGAGCGGAAAAGAUGGUAAUCGAUCGGUGCAAGGUUCGGAGUAUGGUUUGACCAUGUCGGUCAGGUCUUUUCAGUCGAAUAGCCUCAUUCACGUGGUGUAAUUGGGCGAUUUAGAGCUCUUUGCUGACCGUUACAUUCAUUUCGAGCAUUUUCCAGUGCACCAUGCCAACCCAGUCCUACCAAACACAUAUCAUAAUCUUUUUUGUUUAAAGAUCCGCCUUGACUCUCGGCUUUGUCGUAUCUACUGAAGCCACCCACUAUUUUCUGUGCUUGAGUGACUUAUAGACACCAUUUCUCAUCUCCCGUGACGAUGCGGUACAUGAAGCAUUGUUUAUAACCGCAUGUUGCUCGAUGGCGGGCGAGAUGCUGAGAAGCAAUUUGAAGGUGACUUCCUUUGUUUUGACGCGCUCAGGGUCCCAAUUUUUCGGUAAAUUCCUUCGAAUGAGGGUGGUUGAGAAUCAUUUUAUGAGCGCAGUUCUUUUUCCGCCAAUUCACGACUGUUUUGGCGACCUUUCUCCUUCAAAAGGGGUUUGAAACGAUCUUCAUCGAACUCGGAAGGGACGUGUCAUUGACGUCAAAGUCGCCAUUUUUAAACUUUGCAAACCAUUUCCGUACUUUAGACUGUGGCACGGUGAGCCAUCCUGCAUACAAGGAGUCAUAUUUCAAUUGACAAUGAAGAGAGAAUUUGUGAGGCAAUAAAGUUUUAUCAAAAAAUUAUAAAUAUUCAAUCAAAUUCCUACUAGGAAUGCGUGCCUGUGAAGCCCACCUAACAGUUUCCAAUACUAUUCUGUCAAAUUCUUCCAUUUUUCUCCUUCUAACAUCAAAUUUUCACUCUAUUACCAGUUGGGUCAAAAAUACGGCUGAACCCGACAUUCCAACCACUAAGUUGUCAAACAUUAACAGAAAACAAGCAGCAGAAAUUGUUUUUUUUUUCGCUUAAAACUUCCAUUGUCAUUUUUUGUACAAAACUACCCAGUUGACCUUAAUUCAUUUGCCCGCUCCGACGCCUUAACUUAUGCUUCGAUUUAGCAACAUUUGCUGUCGCAGUAACUGGAAAAAAAAAAUCCAUUUAACUUCGCCAAUUUUAGUUUGCCUUAUUAUACCGACUUCAUUGUCGCUGGCUUUCACUAUUUGCUUCGUGUUGCCUUGGCAUUUUAUUUUUUAUUGUAUUGCGCGCGACGCCUAAAUUAAGUGCUAAUGGUGUCAAAGGUGUUGUUUGGUGAAAUUUUGUCGCAAACACUUUCAGUUUUUUCAAUAGAAAUUUAUCGCUUUGGUCGAGGUCUGUCUUCUCCUGUGACUAUUGUUAUUUGCGCUGUUAUUGUUGUUCCUGCACUUAUUCACUCUUUUGUUCGGCCCUUUGUUCACGUCGGUUAUCCUUGACAAAGUGACUCUCUGUGUGGCGCACGUGACUUCGCAUUCAAAGCAUUGCAUUACAGGUUUUUCUACUAAAAUAUUAACAAUUACUUGUUAUUGUCCCCCUUUUGUUUUUGUUGUUUAUCUACUUACUUUGUAGGCUUGCUUUCUAAACAGGCUUUAGAAAUAAGUUGGAGGUCACGCAUCCUUUUCUUUCGGUACCUAAUGGCCGUUUGCUGGUAAUAAAUACAAACAAUAAAGUUUUGCAAUCCGAGAUGGACAGCCAAAAACGUGGUGAGAGUGCAUCAAGGCUGCUGAUGAUAAUGCGGAUGAUUUAAUAUCAACAUGGGAAUUAUUCAAUUCGAAAUUUGUGUCAUUUAGCAUGGAAAUUCGGAGGCUACUGGAUUGCGGGGUCGUAACAUUUAUGGGAUUUAUUGGCUAAUUUGUUUGAUUUGUUAGCACCUAAGGGUAAAUAAAUGCAUUAAAAGGGACCUUCAACAGCGUGAAGGCUAUGCGAGUACAACAAAGAGGCUAGUUUUCUGGGCAAGCAGUGGACCAUCUGUUG